UUAAAUUUAAACUGUAUUAAAGAUGAGGAAAGAUAGAAAGAUAAUGGGGGCAUACCUCAUACAGUGACCAUCAUAGAACAAGCCUAUGAUGACAGCAGUAAACAAAACAAAAAGCUUAAACAGAUGCUACAUAAAGAGCUACAGAUUGCUAAUACAAAGAGACCUUACCAAAUUUUGAACCUAAAACAAACAAUGAGACAAGACAAUCCCAACAGUAGCAGUAAUACAAUUCGGCUGCCAAAAUAACAACAGCAUCAUCAUCUAGCUAACCAACUAGCAGCAGCAGGAUCAAACAAAUUUCCCAACUCAGAUAGGCAUUCCCUGACCAUAGCAGCAGUAGGAGCACAAGAUUUAUGGCCAACCACUGCAGCAUAGAUACGCCCCAACAACCUAUAUUCUGAAGGCCUCACCCACAACAUCACUAUUUUGAAAGCAGCAAGACAUCCACUACAAAGACUGAAUGACAGAACUGAACCACCCACACACACACCAGCAACAACAUAACAAAGCAGAUAUACCCAGCAACAAAUAAUUAGCAUGUCCGUGGCAAAAUAUAUUAACCCAACUUAAUAAAGAAAUCCCCAUCAAGAUAUAGAAAACAGAAUUACAAGACAAGGUGAAGGAAUUUGGCUUUAACUCUUUGAAAUUUAGUAUAGGAAUGCAGCCUACAUUUAAUAAUAUUCAAGAUAUUUUGCACUAUGGUCCUAGCAGGAGAGGGAGGGUUUUCAUAAAUCCUAGCAUUACGACUUUUUGCCAAAUGUUAUAGACAACCACAGCAAGGCAAGAUGCAACAUAUGGAAUUGGACUUUGUUACUAGAGCUAGAUGUCACAACCUUAGAAAUUCCUAAGCCCAACCGUGCGGCCUUAGACAACUAUCACCCUUUUUAGUUGCUAAGUAAGUCUUACGCCAAGUGAACACCAAGAGAACUUGAAAGGAAGAAUGGAAAUAAGAAAGCUUUAUUAAACAAGAGAGCUUUACAAGUAUGCAAUGAGAAUGCUUUUACCUUGGAUGGCUUGGGUGGACAAAUGAGACCACCCUCCUAUUUAUAGGCCUUCACCUCCUAAGGGAAGGUUCUAGAAAUUAAUACUAUAAUCCUAGUCCUAGAAAGAUCUAGAUAAAGCAUUCUAGAUAUGUACAAGUGUUAUACCUCUCUACCUAAGUCUAGAUUAUUCUAGACAUGUCUUGAAUAUACAAUAAAAGUAUAGACAAGUGUGGAAUAUUCUUGAGGCUCCCAGACCAUUCUAGAAUACUCUACUAUCUUGGAAUAUUCUAGAAUAUUCCUAGAAUACUCCAUAAUCCUCUUCAUUGUUCUAGAUUGUUCCACAGCCAGGUGGAACUACGUAGCGCAUUCUAUCAUGCUGGAGAUCAUUCUAGAGACUUCCCCACAUUCUUGCCCCAAAUUAAGCCUCACAUAAGUGCAUGCGCGACAUCUUCGUGGGUUAACCCCUAGAACAUUCCGCAGGACGUGACAUUCUCCCCACCUAAUUUCGUGACGCCCUCGUCACGAACUUCAGUGUCGAACCUCGCACUGUGUUCGGCAUUUCUUGAUGACUUCUGCGUACGUCCGCGGUCCAACAAGCCUCUCACCAUAUGAUAAUUUCGAUCCUUUGAUGAACUCGACUGCUCUAAGCAAGUUGCUAGUGCCUUCCCCCAGUUGCACCAAAGGUAUCUCGCAUAAAGCACGCCCAUUAUCAUCGGAGAUUGCCAACGCUCCCCGAUAUGGUAUUAACGCCGAAUUAUACUUCUCCAAAAAGUCCAUUCCAAGGACAGCUUUGUGAUCAUCCAUGUUGAUGACAGUGAAGUCGGUUUUUCCCGUCCAUGCUCCCAGGCGUAGUUCAACCCCUUUUACUAUGCCAUGGGUUUGUUGUUCUUCAGAAUUAACAGUCUUCACCCAUCCUUCGUCCUUGGUUGGUUUGAGCCCCAAUGCUCCGCAUAUGUCAGGAGUCAGAAAGUUAUGCGUGGCCCCUGAGUCUACCAACGCUUGCACAACUUUGCCCCCAACCUCCAUGUUAACAUAACAAAGACCCUUCCUUUGUGUCGUCAUGCUCUUGUCGGAUCCCGGCUUCUUGACCUUGGCAUCCUGCUCCAUGAUCGUUUCUCGCAUUUGCAACACUCCCUCUGGUUUCUUUCCCAUGCCGCUCGACGAUAUCAUGCUAAGUAAAGUCUUCCGCUGCGAGCAAUUAUUGAUAAAGUGGUCCCCACCACCACACCAAUAACAUCCAGAGAAGGAUUUAACACUAACAUUUGCUCGCUCCUUCUUUGGUGAUUUUCGCCCCUCAUUGCUAUGAAAGUCGCCUCUUGGUCUCCUAUCACCCGCCUAGUUAGGAGUAGGUCUGACCUGUACUGAGUUGAGGAGUUGAAGAGCUCCCAUUGUAGCUUCCUCCUCGUGCUCACCCUUUGUGAUUAAGGCAUUGAGUGCUUGGCGUUUUGGACACUCUCGCCCAAUGAGGUCCAUUACAUAUGAAGCAAUUUUCUCGCGGCUUCCUGUCAGAACUUCGACCUCCCUUGUCUUGGUGGUGGACGACUCUACCCCCAUUCCCUUUUAAAUUCGUAGACAUCGUCCCUUUUUCUUCCACCUUGUUCCUGUUGGUAUGGUCGCCCUUUAGUUUAGAGAGUUCUCUUUCACCCGAAUGAUACUCCACCAAACACUCCGCAACCGUCAAUGCCGUUGCAAUAUCUUCGACUUUAUGCCUUUUUAGCUCGUGUAAGACCCCAGAUUUUAUGAAAUAAAAGUAUUCAAUUUUUCUUAUAAUUAUUAUUCAGUAAAUGGUUAAAUUGAUAAAAGUUUAAAGUUAAGGGUGAUAUAUGUAAAAAUUUUAAAAUACGCAAGUGGUUAUAAAAUACUCAUUUCUGUUGGGAAAUAUUCGUUUGGUCGUGGAAUAUUCUUGUUGUCGGGGAAUAUUCGUACGACAACGUAGUCAUUUGUGGGCCCCAUAACAGAAUAACUGUCGGAUGAAGAAAAUGACAAGUUUGAGUUUUUAUAAGUAACGAAGUAGUUGUUACCGUUAACACUAUUGUAAUACCCGGUGGUUAAAAUAUAGUAAUACGCGUGGUUGCACAAUAGCACACGGUAUUGAACAGUAUUUUUGAAUUAUUGAUUAUUACGUAAGAAGGCACUACUCAAUAAUUGUUACAGUAAUUACUAUUCAAUAUUCUAUUUUAUUGAUUCAAUAAUUGUUGCGUUGAUAUUUUAUAUUAUUGUUGUUUCAAUAAUUAUCGUUGCAUAGUAUUUCCCAUUAUCAGAUCAAUAAUUCAUAUUAUUUGAAUAAUAUUAUUAGAUAGCAUUAUUAGUAAUGUCUAGAAAGUUCUGUCAAGGAGAGGUUUGGUCACCUAAUUGCGCGUCACUAAGGAGAAAUCCUUAUCGGAAAGCCCCCUCUUUCCUAGGAACUGCCUAGUUGUAAUUAUUGUGAUUCUGUAAUAUUAUUAGUGAAUAAUUAAUUAUUGAUAAGGAAAUAUUUAUUUGAUGCGGAUAUAAAUAAUGGAUUUAUUUAUUUUAUGUGGUUAUAAUUGAAGGAAUUAAUGUUGAGGUGUUUUAUCAGUAUUUUUGUCGGAAUGGAGGUAUUAAAAAUCAAAUCAGUAUUUUUACGAUAUAUUGCGUGAGUUAUAAUUUUUAAUCUGACCGUUGGAUCAUUGUGAUUUUUGGAUAUGUUAUACAUAUAUAAGUUGAGUAUAUGUCUACAUAUUUUGAACCGUUAAAAACGAACGUAUGAUUUGUUGUGAAUUUUAAGAGGUGACUGGUUCAGAAAUUAUUAAAGUUUAGGAAUUUAUCAUUUUGGUAAAAAAUUCUAGAAUACGUGGGCCCCACCUAUGGUUGGUGAAGAAAUGUGCUGAAAUUCUAAUUCAAAUAUGGUGAGUGGCAAUAGUAGCAGGUAAAGCCAUCAGGUAGCAGGUUAAGUCUGCUUCGGCGUGCUAACAUUUUCCUAUAAAUAGAGGGCUAAGUUAGAAUUGAAAAUCACACCAGAAACAUAAGCUUUCUUUAUUUCUCUCUCUAUAUUAUCAAGCGUAUUUUGUGAGUAUUUAAAUACUUUGAGAGUUGCUAUUCAGUGCAAGGUUCCUUCGACUUUACAUUCCGGUCAGAAAUACUGAUCUUUCGAGGUAAGGGAUUAUAAGGGAUUUUAAGGGUUAUUAUGUUUCUUCAGUUUCGUAAUUUUUCUGACCUUAAAAAAUUCUGGAAAAAUUUAAAAUGAUAGUUUGAUGAGUUUUCUUGAUUGUGUCCAAAAAUGGUGAUUUUUGGAUGUAUAGAUUAAGAGUUAUGGAUUUUAUGAGAAAAAACUAUUUUAAAAGUAAACCCUUAUAACUCCUUGUGGUUAACUCCAAAAUUGGUGAAAUUUUUAUUGGGAGUACAUAUAUAUAACAUAAGUAUACUCUGUAAAUUUCGGAAUUUUUGGACAAAUAUACAAUUUAUGAUAAAUGUCUAAAUAUUCGGCAGUUUUGGUCAUAUGAAAAAUAGUAAAUGAAUUUUAAAAAUUCCGAGAAAAAUAUAUGUUCAAUAUGGGACUAUAUCCUGCUAACCCAGAAAAGAAAUAUUUUUGGAACUGAUUUGAUAUUUUUCAUAAAAAUGGACUAGUUAUGAGUAAAUGAAUUAAAUAUGUUAUGUGAAGUAACAAAAUUAGAAAAUAGGAUUUUAUGGCUUGGGAAUCCUAUAUAUGGUAUAUGUAGAUUUUUGAUGAGGUUUUUGGUUAUUGGACAUGAAAUCUUAUGAGUUUGGCAUUUUAGGAUGAUUAAAUGCAUUAAUUAGUAAAGUGUAAACAAUUAGAAUAAAUUGUUUAUAAGUUUAAGAAAUGAUUAAGAUAUUGUGGUAAUAUUAAUGAUAUUAGAUUAUGAGAUUAUUAAGUGAUUUAUAACAUUUGGAUUAAGGUGUUAUAAAUAUUGAUAUGAAUUUUAUUGUGAAAGUUUAUCUUUUUGUGUCGGUGUUACUAUUCACGAGUUACUAUUCACGAUAAAAUUGGUUUUUUUUUUUGACCAAAUUAUCAUUGAUUUAUGAAUCUUACUCUUGAAAUUAAAUCCAUGAUUUUUAUUAUCAUAUAUAACAUUUUUAUAAUCCUGGUGAAGAAAUUUUUCUUUGACUUGAGUGUAAAGAUGGGUAGAUUAUUGGUAUGAUCGUGACUAUGGGUUCUCUUUGGCCAGUAGUACAAAGAUGAAUUGUUGACUGGUAUGAUCAUGACCAUUGAAUUUGCAAUUGAAUAUUUUUAGAUUAAGAGCAAAAGUGAAUUGAUCAAUAUGGUUAUAAUUAUUGUUAAUAUAAAUUCUGAAAUGAUUAUAUAUUUCUUUGAAAUAUUAACAUCUUUGGCCUGUAGUGCAAAGAUAAAUUGUUGAUGAAUAUCUUUGGCGUGUAGUGUAAGACCCAAACUUAUUAUAAAUUAAAUUAAAUUUCCUCUAUUUAUUAUUUUGAAAUAGUAAGGAUUGAUUUGAUUAAUGUGGUUAGUUAUGGGUAAAAUGCGCAAAUAUUUUAAAUAAGCAAGUGGUUAUAAAAUAUUCAUUGUUGUCAGAGAAUAUUAGUUUGGUCGUGGAAUAUUCUUACUAUCUGAGAAUAUGCGUACGACGGCGCAGCCUUGUGUGGGCCCCAUAACGGAAAGCGAUUGGAUGAAGAAAACGACAAGUAUAAGUUGUUUAUAAAUAACGGCGUAGUUGUUACCGUUAAUACUGUUGNNNNNNNNNNNNNNNNNNNNNNNNNNNNNNNNNNNNNNNNNNNNNNNNNNNNNNNNNNNNNNNNNNNNNNNNNNNNNNNNNNNNNNNNNNNNNNNNNNNNAAAUUUUUAAUGUGACAAUUGUUGAAAAUUAAUAUUUUAUCUUUUUCUGAUAAAAUAAUUUAUUUAAAUAUAUUAUUAUAUUUUAAUAAUAUAAUAAUGGUGAUAUUUUUACAAUGAAUGUGGGAUAUAUGAGUAUAUAAGGAGGAAGAGUAUUUUUGUUUCAAAAAUUGUUUAAAAUAUGUUAAACAUGUUUGUGGGCCCAUUUCUUGACUGAAAUUUGAUUAUAGCCUGUAAAAUCGCUCGUUUGUGGAUUUUGGUCAAUUUUUAUUUGAAAUUUGGAAAAACUUUCUUCUGUAAAGUUGUAGAGAAUGGAAUUUUCUAUGGAAAGGACAUAAGGUUUGAAUUUUUCUGACAAAAGGGCUAUUUAUUAUGAAUUAUUGAAGUUCCAAAAUUCUGAAAUAAUUGAUUUUUGGAAGUUUUAAUUAUUUUUUUAAGAAAAACGUUUUUUGAAAGUUUUGUGAGUUGGUGGGCUAUGGUAAAUGUGCUGAAAUGAGAAUUCAAAUGGUGCGUAUGAUUAUUUAAUAAAUAUUAUUAUUUUAUUAAAUUUUCUGCUUUGGUGUUCUAAGUAUUUUCCUAUAAAUAGGGUGUUUAGGUUAGAAUUGAAAAUCACACAAGAAACUGAAGUUUUCUCUCUCUUUCUCUCUCUAUAUUAUCGAGCGUAUUCUUGUGAGUAUUUUGAUACUUUGAGUGUUGCUAUACGGUGCGAGUUCCCUUCAGCACUAUAUCUAGUAUUCCAGUCAGAAGUACUAUUCUUUUCGAGGUAAAGGAUAUUUUUUUUUUAAAAUGAUAUUAUUUUUUCUAAUAUCAUUAUGCCGGAAUAUUGGUAAGAUUUUUUGUGAAAUUCUUGUCUUUUAGUGUCGGGGUUACUAUUCAUGUAUACGACACUAUUCACGAAUACGACACUAUUCAUAGAAAAAUUGAAAUUUCGUUUUUUAUCCAAAAUAUCUAUUAUAGAUACUAGCUUUGAUUGUAUCCAUGUUUUGAUCAUUCUUGAAUUUUACUUCACUAUGAUUGUUUAUGAAGUAUUUUUGAACUCGAAUUGUUUAAAGUACGAAUCCUUAAUAUUUGUUCUUUUGUUUCACUGGAUUCGUUUUCUUUAAAAUAUUUUUCAUCAUCCUCAGUCCUAAAUGAUGAUAUUACUGAAUAUCUUUGGCCUGUAGUGCAAAGAUUAAUGAUUUUCUGAUGAAUAUCUUUGGCCCGUAGUGCAAAGAUGAACAUGUGUUGAGAUGAACAUGACCAACUGAUGAAUAUCUUUGGCCUGUAGUGCAAAGAUGAAUAUUUGAUUCAAGAUGAAUAUUGAUUGAUGUUACAGGGAUAAAAUAAUGAUGAUGGACUUUUAAAUUCAUAGAUUAUAGUAGAUUGCAUUCUCUACGUAACUCAUCUAUGAAUUAUUAUUUUCCGCUGUAAAUAUUGAUCUGAAAUUUGUUGUCUAUUGUAUUUUAUCAGAUUUUUUCCUGUUGAAGACUAACGAUAAUUUGUUCUAUAUUAUCUUAGUCAUAAUAUUCUUUACUGGGCUAGUUAAGGUCACCCUUUUCCUUUUUGUUCUAUUUUUCUUCUCAAGAGGCGAGAAUGUAGCGAGUAUUAGUCGGGGUAUGGAAUGAAAGUUCUAGAAAGUCAUUUUAGUAGUCCUCACCAUUUUUGUAAAAUAAUGUACCAAUAAUUAUAAUGAGAACUUAUUUAGGUGUGAAUAUUGUCUAGAUGACAAUAUUUGUAUUUAAACUCACAGUUUUUAUGUUGUAUUAAUAAAGUUGUAGUUGUUUCUGUACCAUGUUAUUGACGAUUCAAAAUGGGUGAUGUAUACCUAUUUUGGGGGCGUCACAUGUAGUGCAAAGAUGAAUUAUUGAUGAAUAUUUUUGGCCCGUAGUGCAAAGAUGACCUGUUGUUGAAUAUCUUUGGCCCGUAGUGCAAAGAAGAAUUUAUUAGUAUUAUUAUGAACAGGAACUGUGUUUUGGUAUAACCAUGAUAUUUGAUGUUUCAGGUAAAGACAUGUGAUGAAAAAUAUCUUCUUCUUGGAUGAGAAGAGAAAAUUAGAACUACAAUUAUGAUUAUGAGUUAUUCACAUGACUGUGAACAGGAUCUGUUGAUUAAUGUUACAGGGUUAAAGCAUUGUUGGUGGACUUUUNNNNNNNNNNNNNNNNNNNNNNNNNNNNNNNNNNNNNNNNNNNNNNNNNNNNNNNNNNNNNNNNNNNNNNNNNNNNNNNNNNNNNNNNNNNNNNNNNNNNGUGGAGAUAGUUAUAUGUCAAGAGAAGACUCACCAUUGGAAGGAACAUGAUAGUAAUCUUCUCUUUUUUUUUGGGGUCUAUUGGAUCAACCAAGGAUAAUUCUCUGGACAUAUGAUAUCUAUCAUAACUUAGAUUCAUGGCCUCCUAUGUACGAAGGUUUCCUUGAGCACUUCCUAAGGAUUUUAAUUUCUAAAACAGUUAUUGACUGUACGUUUAUGUAAUAUAUCAAUGUGAGGUGUUGUCCAUAGUUGGGACAUGAGUCAAAGUUGGAAUUAAAACUCACAAUAUAUGUGUUGUUGUAUUUUGCACGACAAUUAUAGUAAUAAAGUUGUAGUUGUAUUCUGUACCAUGUAUUUGGUGACUCAGAAUAGGUUGGAUGGAUUUGACCUAUUUUGGGGGCGUCACAUCUUGAGCAGCCCAAGGGUUGAGCCCAUCCAUGAAGUUAAAAAGAAGAUCCUCCUCACUCAUGUUCGUGAUUUGAAGCAUAAGAUCGGAGAAAGUCCGCACGUAAUCUUGGAUGGUCCGAUCUUGCUUGAGCUCCUUCAUCUUCUUACGGGCAUCGCGGCCAACAUUCAUGGGAUAGAACUGCUUCUUGAGUUCCACCUUUAAGAGCUCCCAAGUAUUGAUGGUACAUGUGCCUUUCUCCAUCUCGACACAUUUCCUACGCCACCAAACCAUUGCAAUGUCGGUGAAGUAGAGGGAAGCAGUGUUUACCUUCACUUGAUCUUCCAAGUUUAAGGCUGCAAAAAAUUUAAACAUAUCAAAAAAUAAUUUCAUGAGACAAGUUUAAACAUGAUUAAAGUUAGGAGAGGUAAUUAAACAUAUAUGAGGGUGAUCUAUACUUAUAGUCAAUAAUAAUUGUUCACUCUUUCAAAAUUAAAGAUACAAUUUGAUUUUUGAUGUCAAACGACAUAAUAUUAAACUUUUCAUACGAGUUUAGAAUAAAAAAAAUUAUAAUUAAUAAUUUUUGUUAUAUACCAUACAUUUGCAAUAAUUGUAUCAACUAAAAUUAAACAAAUUCAUAUCAAUUUGAAAUUUAAUAUAUCAUCGUUUGAUGUCAAAAGUUAAAUUGUACAUCUAAUUUUGAAACGAAUGGAGUAUACUAUUAUUUGCAACCAACUCGUGUAAAACAUUUCUUCAAGAAUUUUUAUUUUUUUUUUUGUUAAAUUUAAACUGUAUUAAAGAUGAGGAAAAAUAGAAAGAUAAUUGGGCAUACCUCAUACAGUGACCAUCAUAGAACAAGCCCUAUGAUGACAGCAGUAAACAAAACAAAAAGCUUAAACAGAUGCUACAUAAAGAGCAACAGAUUGCUAAUACAAAGAGACCUUACCAAAUUUUGAACCUAAAACAAACAAUGAGAUAAGGCAAACCCAACAGUAGCAGUAAUAUAAUUCGGCUGCCAAAAUAACAACAACAUCAUCAUCUAGCUAACCAACUAGCAGCAGCAGCAUCAAACAAAUUUCCCAACUCAGAUAGGCAUUCCCUGACCAUAGCAGCAGUAGGAGCACAAGAUUUAUGGCCAACCACUGCAGCAUAGAUACGCCCCAAUAACCUAUAUUCUGAAGGCCUCACCCACAACAUCAUGAUUUUGAAAGCAGCAAGACAUCCACUACAAAGACUGAAUGACAGAACUGAACCACCCACACACACACCAGCAACAACAUAACAAAGCAGAUAUACCCAGCAACAAAUAAUUAGCAUGUCCGUGGCAAAAUAUAUUAACCCAACUUAAUAAAGAAAUCCCCAUCAAGAUAUAGAAAACAGAAUUACAAGACAAGGUGAAGGAAUUUGGCUUUAACUCUUUGAAAUUUAGUAUAGGAAUGCAUCCUACAUUUAAUAAUAUUCAAGAUAUUUUGCACUAUGGUCCUAGCAGGAGAGGGAGGGUUUUCAUAAAGCCUAGCAUUACGACUUUUUGCCAAAUGUAUAGACAACCACAGCAAGGCAAGAUGCAACAUAUGGAAUUGGACUUUGUUACUAGAGCUAGAUGUCACGGCCUUAGAAAUUCCUAAGCCCAACUGUGCGGCCUUAGACAACUAUCACCCUUUUUAGUUGCUAAGUAAGUCUUACGCCAAGUGAACACCAAGAGAACUUGAAAGGAAGAAUGGAAAUAAGAAAGCUUUAUUAAACAAGAGAGCUUUACAAGUAUGCAAUGAGAAUGUUUUUACCUUGGAUGGCUUGGGUGGACAAAUGAGACCACCCUCCUAUUUAUAGGCCUUCACCUCCUAAGGGAAGGUUCUAGAAAUUAAUACUAUAAUCCUAGUCCUAGAAAGAUCUAGAUAGAGCAUUCUAGAUAUGUACAAGUGUUAUACCUCUCUACCUAAGUCUAAAUUAUUCUAGACAUGUCUGGAAUAUACAAUAAAAGUAUAGACAAGUGUGGAAUAUUCUUGAGGCUCCCAGACCAUUCUAGAAU
RNAcentral lists this long non-coding RNA (10382 nucleotides) under Panax ginseng (ginseng). RNAcentral describes it as "long non-coding RNA (PGIN_LNC012907)". Lineage: Eukaryota; Viridiplantae; Streptophyta; Magnoliopsida; Apiales; Araliaceae. The record is from RNAcentral.